Molecule: long non-coding RNA, 1515 nt
Filed under: Rattus norvegicus (Norway rat)
Lineage: Eukaryota; Metazoa; Chordata; Mammalia; Rodentia; Muridae
Description: long non-coding RNA NONRATT030562
Source: RNAcentral
AGGGCAUGCCCUGGGUCACUGGUUUCAUGGCAGCCUUCUUUACUGUGGACUCUGUUCCUCAACCAUGAGUGCAGGAGGAAUGCCCACCUACUCUUGUAUUUGUAUCAUUCCUCCUCACUCAGCUCUUCACUUCCCUGCAGAGCUUAAGAAAUCAGGGGUCAGCCGCUGAGCUGACCAUUUUUAUUGGUAUGCUAUGUUAAUUGAAAAGGUGGUUUCUGAGUGACAGGUUUUCUUCCCUGAUUUCUUUGUUGAUAUUAAUAGCAAAAGCAAACUUGCAAAACAACUUCUUUAACAAGGGAGGGAGAAUAUAAGAUGGGUGAUAUGCUAAUCCAAUCCUGCUGGACAAAAACUGAAGCUGACAGGUUACAUUUUUUAAAUAGUACAGACAGUUUCUGAUUUGCUUUGUGAUGACACCAUCUGGCUUAUGUACAGGAUCUCUCUUAGCUGUACCAUAAGCAGAAAAAAAUAUCACUACUCGUUUUAGUUAAACUAGGUUACAUUUUAAUAGUUCCUUUACAUCUAUUCUGAAUCGAUUUUUGUCUUCUGUGGUACAUGGGUUUUAUUAUAACAUUCUAAUAUUUGUCUUUGUAAAUACGAGAGACUCUUCGUUCCACUUCUCUAGGAAGUUUUGCAUCUUAUGGAGUUCUGAAUCAUGACUUUUGUCUUUAUGAAUGUAUAUGUUUUUUACUUGCAAAAGCCAAAAAUCAGUGAAACAGAGUGCAACUAAAGCAACACAAACUAAACUCCAAGUUUUCAAGUGAUGAUACUAGACAAAAACAGUGUACACAUGACUUUAUGUCUACUGCUUCUGCAGUGGGUUUGAGUGAGCAAUGGAAGCCGUAGAUUGGCUGUGUUCUCCCACACAAGCAAACAAGAGCUUGGUUUUUGCUUUUUGCCUUUUGGAGUUUGUUCUUUUUUGUUUUGUGUUGUUUUGCUUUCCUUGGCCAUCAAUGUUCCAGCUCAUAUGAUUGGCAGAGCAAAGCACUCUGCUCAACAGAGUGAAUGUUGCUGGUACACUAUGCUCACCUGUGAACGACUGGCCAUUUUUCCAUUCAUUUGGUAAGACAGAAGAUGAGGAUCAUUUCCUGGACAAGUCAAGGUGAUCAUCUCCAAAGAGGUUUACAGUACUUGAUGGGAAUGGAAUAUGAGGAUGAGAAAAAGAGGAGUAUCAUGGAGAAGGCCCAACUGGGAUGGACAGCAGACAGCUGCCAAAGUCACGAACUCUGAGAUUAAAGAAGAGUCGUGUAGUGCUUUCAACUCUCAUUUGCAGGGCAGCUCACUGUGUGUGGACUCUGAGCUGACAUGGGAGUUAGCUUCUUUGUUCCAUAGAUUUUCUAUGCCAUAGGCAAUAUUAUUGUUCUUGGAAAGUUCAUUAUUUUUUUAAAUUACCUUACUCUGAGAAAGGGAUUUUUUGAAGGAUUCUGUCAUAUAUCUUUCGAAAACAGAAAAUCAGUAAUAUGUAUAUUUUUAUGUAUGUUCACUGGCACUUAAAAAAGAAAAAAAAAGAGAAAAAAA